GCCUAAUACUCGCGAGUCCAACGAUACCAGGGAGCUUGCUUUCUCGGGAAAGUGUCGCACCGGGUGCGUAUCGCAUAUGCAACCUACGUUAGUCGGGGGGAUACCCUCUGAAAGGAAAAAUUAACACCGUUAAAAAUCACAGUCCGGCAUCGGACAAUGACAUUUAUUUAUAGGAUUAAAAUGGGAAUGCGUGACAUUAGCUAGUUGGUAAGGUAACGGCUUACCAAGGCUACGAUGUCUAGGGGAUCUAAGAGGAUGACCCCCCACACGGGUACUGAGACGCGGACCAGACUCCUACGGGAGGCAGCAGUAAGGAAUAUUGGUCAAUGGGGGCAACCCUGAACCCUUCCUGCCGCGUGCAGGAAGACGGCCCUCCGGGUUGUAAACUGCUUUUAUACGGGAAUUACCCCUCUACGUGUAGAGGGUUGAAUGUACUGUACCAAUAAGGAUCGGCUAACUCCGUGCCAUCAGCCGCGGUAAUACCGAGGAUCCAAACGUUUUCCCGAUUUUUGGGGUUGAAGGCGUGCGUAUGCGGCCUAUUACUCCUGGGGUGAAAGACGGCGGCUCACCCACCGCACUGCCUUUGAUCCUGAUGGGCUU
This 600-nucleotide ribosomal RNA is filed under the name uncultured bacterium. RNAcentral describes it as "bacterial SSU rRNA". It matches the Rfam family "Bacterial small subunit ribosomal RNA", at positions 46 to 643 of the family's 1533-position model. The record is from RNAcentral.